This 26-nucleotide non-coding RNA is filed under the name Rattus norvegicus (Norway rat). The record is from RNAcentral. Lineage: Eukaryota; Metazoa; Chordata; Mammalia; Rodentia; Muridae.
UGGUGGCAAAUGCUUGCAGUCCCAGG